AUAUCAAUAAGCGGAGGAAAAGAAACCAACAGGGAUUGCCUCAGUAACGGCGAGUGAAGCGGCAACAGCUCAAAUUUGAAAUCAGGCUCUUUAGGGCCCGAGUUGUAAUUUGUAGAGGAUGCUUCGGCGUCGGCUCCGGUCUAAGUUCCUUGGAACAGGACGUCGUAGAGGGUGAGAAUCCCGUAUGCGGCCGGGUGCCUAAGCCUAUGUGAAGCUCCUUCGAUGAGUCGGGUUGUUUGGGAAUGCAGCUCAAAAUGGGUGGUAAAUUUCAUCUAAAGCUAAAUACUGGCCAGAGACCGAUAGCGCACAAGUAGAGUGAUCGAAAGAUGAAAAGCACUUUGGAAAGAGAGUUAAAUAGUAC
This 361-nucleotide ribosomal RNA is filed under the name uncultured fungus. Its description in RNAcentral is "eukaryotic LSU rRNA". It matches the Rfam family "Eukaryotic large subunit ribosomal RNA", at positions 40 to 398 of the family's 3401-position model. The record is from RNAcentral. Lineage: Eukaryota; Fungi.